CUAUAUGAUGAUGUAUUGUGUUAAUCUGAAGCAGUCUGCAUCACAGCUGUUUUAGAGCAUAUUGCUCAAGUCUCCCAUUUCUGAUUGUACCCUUGGAGACAGCCUAAAGGGGAAAAGCUUUGUGCCUGAGGAAAAAGGUUCUCAGCAUGUGUGCAGAUUUUCAAUUUGAGAAGACACAUCAUGUUGCCUUUUUAGAAUAAGAGUCUGGAAAAAGAUAAAAAAGUGAAAAUAUUUCUUUUUAUCAUUCUGAUAGAAAAUUAAAGAAUCAUAGAAUAUCUCAAGCUGUAAGGGACCCAGAAGGAUGAUCGAGUUCAACUUCUGCAUGCAACUGAGUGAAACAGAAAGAUGCAUCAAUUAAGGAAGCUCCAGGAUAGAGCAGUAAAGAGCAUUAAGCAGCCAAAGAAGGAAAUUGAUCUGCAUGUGGGGAUUUUCGAUGGAAGCAAUUAUUUCUUCAAGGGAAUCUUUGAUUUCUUCAAGACCAGGAACACGAAUGGAAAUGUUCUGUCUGUGGCCCAGCAUGAAGAGGACAAAAGUUGCAAACUAAGUAAGAAACAGCCACAGUCAUCUCAUAUUCAUCCGUCUAAAAAUCACCAUGCAGAGAGAAGGAGCUUGCAGAUGCUUAAGUAUUUUCCCUUCAUGGAAUUCCUUGGGAUAUUGCAGCAGACUGGCCUGCUGGAAUGCACACAUUUAGUGGGAAGAUUUUGCAAACCAAAGAGAUCUGAACUCUCUAAUCACUAAGAGUGGGUUGGUCAUUUCUAAUCAUGGCCAUUGGUAUCUUGGCCUUGCUCUAGGACUGGUCCACAGAACGGUUGGGCAAGAGGAAACUUCUGUCUGCCUGGAGCUUCCCGGUGCUCUCAGGAAGUGAAAGCUCUACCAGUCACUGAGAAAAGUCAGAUUCAACAGCACAGAUCAAAAUCAACCAUGCACAUCAGCAGUACAUAUUACUCACAUUAUAACAUCAAGCACAGGGCUAAGGCUCUGGCUCUAGGAUCAGACCCCAGAGUAUGUGGCCCCAUAUUUCUUUACUCUAACAGCAGGAUUUGCCAACUACUUUUGAGCAACUGGGAAGAGAAGAAAAAAAACACUCACACAACACAGAGAUGCAUUUGAACCAGAGUCAAACCUUUCAAAUUUCAAAGGUGAUAAGAACAGGCCAUGAGUGGUCUCUCACUUAUCUUGGUAGACACAAACCACAUGUUAACCUGGACUCUGAGCUGCUGUUCUGUUCUUUCUUCCAGCUCUGAACUAACAGCAAACAAUUGAAGGGAGACAAGAUUGAAAUAGCCUGUAGUCUUCUGUGAUGACGAAUUUCUGCUGUACCAUGAAAGCACUGUGGAAGAGAGCCCUGCCAUCUAUGUAAAUACACUUAAAGAGCAGAAGAUCUUCUGCACUCUCUUUGUAGAUGUGAACGUGCUGUGUGUGCAAGGCAGAAGGUUGUGACAUGUCAUAAACUUCUCUAAUUUCUGCGGUCUUUUUACAGUCAUGAAUAGCAGUCAAUCUCUCUAAGCAACCCAUUCUGGAUUCUGGUUUAAAACCACUACAUAUUUGAAGUUAGAAACAAGAGAUAUUUUAGUAUUCUACCUCUUUCAACAUGUACUUUCUGUCUUGAUUUAAGUCCAAGAACUUAGUAAUAUGGUAGGCAGAAACUCACCUGUCAGAGAAGUUUACUUUUUUGGACAAAUGUCAUGCUAGAAAUCAUGGGAUGAUUUCAGAUAUUUUCAUCAUUAAAAGAAAUGUUGGAGUAAACCAUGGACAUGUGGACAUGAACUGAUGUGAAGUGAAUAGAUUGCAGACAAAAUUCUUCUCUCAUCUGGAGUAGAUUCAUUUGCUUCAGUGAAACAAUUCUGGAUUUCCAGUGAUGUAAUUUGGAACAGCAUCUGGCUUCAGAUACAUAAGAAGAUCUCCUUGUAAUGGUUUAUAUCACUGACUACUUACUGCAUGAUUUUGCUAUGCUUUUCGUAGUUCUUAUUAGCUACACAUAAUCGUUAGUCUUAAAUCUUUCUCGUGUUUCAUACAAGGCCAAUAAAAGCCUUGCAGAACGAGGAAAAUGUACAUUUCCUUCAGAUCACCACUGUGUAGCAUCUUUCAAAACUUAGUUAAAAUCACAGUCAACAAUUAUCUUCUCUUUUUAGUUUGGAUAUUACUUUAUGGAAUACAGGUGAAGGAAAAGCCUCUCAGUUCUGUCUGUUCUUCACAUAAAGCAAGUCGGUGCAACAAGUCAGAGACAUUUACUUGGCGAACAGCCUUCAAUUAGUGGGAUUUUUCCCAUAAGGACUCUUCCUCUAUUUGAGUAAAUGUAUGUUGUGUUGACAGACAUCCAUUCUAGUCACCUUCGCAUAGUUUCAUUAUUAUUUUCUUUUAAACAAAUAAAUACAGUGCAGGACCUGCCUUCUCUCAAACCUGUGGCCAAAUUCUGCUUCCAAACAUGACACCCAUUCAUCAUCAUACAGAAUGUAAAGGAGAGGUGGACUGAAAGUUACUCUUCCUCUGUCACUGUGUGGAUGUUUUAGUACAUCAUUCUUUUCACUACAAGGCUUUCAAAGUCACACUCUGAACAUGAGAACUGCAGGCAAUCUUCACUGCCUUCAGAAUCUGUUUUAAAUGUUUUAAACUUUUUAAUGCAAGAAGGCUUAAUAAAACUACAAGACAAUAGUGAAUACAUAUGUAAAUACGCUAAAUACGAUGAAGAAAUCAGCAUUUGCUAUUAUCCCACACAUUCUACAGUUGCAUUCUGUUGUAUAUUACAAAGCUGUAGCAUCUGAUUUCUUAAUGGUUAAGGCUGUACUUUGCAAAUAUGUUCAGAAAUAUCCACGCAGAUGUUUCUGUUUAAUCUUAUUACACUUGCUUUUCCAGCUUGGAAAUUUAAUUCCAGGAUCAUAAUUAAUAAUACAUAAUUAAUAAUUUCAUUUAGUCCGAGUGAUUACAAGGACUGUUGUGGUAGCCAAAAGCAAUAUUUGUGUCAUUUGCCUUUCAUUGAACUUCUAAGGUAGUGACACUUGUUUUAAUAAAAGAUAAAUAUUACAGUUGAGUCUGUUUAUUUUUUCCAUUACAUCUGGAUUCUCUUUCUGGCUUUCCUUUAGGUAAAUUUUUUACAAAUCUUUUCUCAAAGAAAAUAUUAAUGAUAUACCAUUAUCUUUUUCUAAAAGGCAG
Molecule: long non-coding RNA, 3150 nt
Organism: Gallus gallus (chicken)
Lineage: Eukaryota; Metazoa; Chordata; Aves; Galliformes; Phasianidae
Source: Ensembl